AGAAGCAUGCAAUAAUAGCUUUUAGAAUGCCUCGGUGUUCCCCCAGAGAAUCUGGGAUGUAAAAGCCUUGGAUAAACCAUUCUAUGAGACGUUGCUUCU
RNAcentral lists this non-coding RNA (99 nucleotides) under unclassified sequences. RNAcentral's name for it is "DUF3800-V RNA". It matches the Rfam family "DUF3800-V RNA". The record is from Rfam by way of RNAcentral.